GGAGGGGUGUCCGAGCGGCUGAAGGAGACCGUCUUGAAAACGGUUGUGGGGAAACUCACCGUGGGUUCGAAUCCCACCCCCUCCGCCA
This 88-nucleotide transfer RNA is filed under the name Chloroflexota bacterium. Its description in RNAcentral is "tRNA-Ser". It matches the Rfam family "tRNA". Rfam says of the family: Transfer RNA (tRNA) molecules are approximately 80 nucleotides in length. The record is from RNAcentral. Lineage: Bacteria; Bacillati; Chloroflexota.